CCACCUCUGGUACCCUCUCCCACCUUUGGACAUUCAUGGCAUAUCCUGGAAAUAUGCCAUAUAUUUUCAAAUGGGAUUCUCCCUUCAACUCUAUGUUGACCAGCGUUGUACAUGUAUGGUGCAUGUCAGCAGUUUAAAUAUGACGUCCACUCGCAAUUGCAGUGGGCACCGUAUCUGCUUUUAUGUCUGGGGUUAAUGUCUGUGAUCAGCAAUAAUGCCAAUCACAGCGAGUG
Molecule: long non-coding RNA, 233 nt
Organism: Bufo bufo (common toad)
Lineage: Eukaryota; Metazoa; Chordata; Amphibia; Anura; Bufonidae
Exons: 3
Source: RefSeq, a predicted model, not a curated record